AUGGCUGUCGUCAGCUCGUGUCGUGAGAUGUUGGGUUAAGUCCCGCAACGAGCGCAACCCCUACCCUUAAUUGCCAUCGGGUUAUGCCGGGCACUUUAGGGGGACUGCCGGUGACAAGCCGGAGGAGGGUGGGGAUGACGUCAAGUCCUCAUGGCCUUUAUGACCAGGGCUACACACGUGUUACAAUGGGAGUUACAGAGGGAAGCUAAACCGCGAGGUCAUGCCAAUCCCAGAAAAACUUUCUCAGUUCGGAUCGCAGUCUGCAACUCGACUGCGUGAAGCUGGAAUCGCUAGUAAUCGCGGAUCAGCACGCCGCGGUGAAUACGUUCCCGGGCCUUGUACACACCGCCCGUCACACCAUGGGAGCCGACAAGGGCAGAAGUCGCCGAGCUAACCUUCGGGAAGCAGGCGCCCAAGCUGUUGUUGACGACUGGGGUGAAGUCGUAACAAGGUAGCCGUAGGAGAACCUGCGGCUGGAUCACCUCCUUUCUAAGGACGCCGGAGAUGCUUUAUGCUUAUCUCCGGAUAGUCAAAGUCGAAACAGACUCUCUUCUCUUCUCUCCCUUUUCUCCUGUAAAUGCUAAGUUAUGAAUUUAGAGCAACGAAGGAAUUAAAUUCGUUACUGUGGACUCCUAAUUUCAAGAGGGGCCUGUAGCUCAGCUUGGUUAGAGCGCAUCCCUGAUAAGGAUGAGGCCGGUGGUUCAAGUCCACCCAGGCCCACCAGGUUCAGUGGGGGAUUAGCUCAGCUGGUAGAGCGCCUGCUUUGCAAGCAGGAGGUCAGCGGUUCGACCCCGCUAUCCUCCACCAAAUUAAUGAACAGUAAAAAAAGGUGGUGCAGCUUAAGCAGAAGAUAAGCUUCAGCAAUUAUUUAAUAAUUUCUGAAUUUUAUUUUUUAAUAUCUUAGAUAAUUGAAUCGGAGGUUUUGGAGACACAAGAUCAAAUGUGAGGGUCUCCAAGGGUUGACGAUCUUGACUGUUAAAGUCAGGUAGUAAGGGCGCAGGGCGGAUGCCUUGGCUCUGGGAAGCGAAGAAGGACGUGGCCAGCUGCGAUAAGCCUCGGGGAAGAGCAAACAUCUUUUGAUCCGGGGAUUUCCGAAUGGGGAAACCCGG
This 1109-nucleotide small RNA is filed under the name uncultured bacterium. Its description in RNAcentral is "bacterial SSU rRNA". The stretch from base 1 to 489 matches the Rfam family "Bacterial small subunit ribosomal RNA", at positions 1045 to 1533 of the family's 1533-position model. The record is from RNAcentral.